Alligator sinensis (Chinese alligator) is the source of this 345-nucleotide long non-coding RNA. RefSeq lists it as uncharacterized. NCBI's taxonomy places the organism in Eukaryota, Metazoa, Chordata, Crocodylia, Alligatoridae. The record is from RefSeq and is a predicted model, not a curated record. The transcript has 3 exons.
GUACACUUUGCAUACAUUGCUAUUUCCAUCCUCUUCCCAUGGAAUCGACAUAACACUCCAGCUGAUCCUGCCUCCUUCCCAAAUGCUGCACGUGCUAACUGGUCUACAGGAGAAAAACUGUAUAAGGAUCAAAAGGGAAGAGUAGUGACUUUGCUGAGGAUCUGCGGAUGCCUCCCAUUCCAUCACACAGGUGUCCAUCUCUGAGCCUGGAGGGGAAGAACACAGUCUCUGCCUUCCACCCCCCACCUCGGCUCUCACCUCUCCAACCAGGAACUACAGAGCUGUUUAUGUCUGCCUUGCUGCCUGCUUCUCAUUAAGUGUCCAGCGAACUAAACCUUCCCCGGG